GACGAACGCUGGCGGCGUGCCUAAUACAUGCAAGUAGAACGCUGAAGGAGGAGCUUGCUUCUCUGGAUGAGUUGCGAACGGGGGAGUAACGCGUAGGUAAACUGCCUCGUAGCGGGGGGUAAAUAUUGGAAACGAUAGCUAAUAUCGCAUAAUAGUAGAUGUCGCAUGAGAUUUACUUAAAAGGUGCAAUUGCAUCACUACCAGAUGGUCCUGCGUUGUAUUAGCUAGUUGGUGAGGUAACGGCUCACCAAGGCAACGAUACAUAGCCGACCUGAGAGGGGGGUCGGCCACACUGGGACCGAGACAACGCCCAGACUUCUACGGGAGGCAGCAGGAAGGGAUCUUCGGGAAUGGACGGAAGUCUGACCGAGCAAAGCCGGGUGGAGGAAUAAGGGUUUCGGAUCCGAAAGCUCUGUUGUAAGAGAAGGAAGAGUGUUGGAGUGGAAAGUUCACACUGUGACGGUAUCUUAUCAGAAAGGGACGGCUAACUACGUG
RNAcentral lists this ribosomal RNA (495 nucleotides) under uncultured bacterium. RNAcentral describes it as "partial 16S ribosomal RNA". It matches the Rfam family "Bacterial small subunit ribosomal RNA", at positions 28 to 507 of the family's 1533-position model. The record is from RNAcentral.